ACGGGCGCGCUUACCAUGCAGUCGAGCGGAUGAAGGUAGCUUGCUACCGGAUUCAGCGGCGGACGGGUGAGUAAUGCUUAGGAAUCUGCCUAUUAGUGGGGGACAACGUUCCGAAAGGAGCGCUAAUACCGCAUACGUCCUACGGGAGAAAGCAGGGGACCUUUGGGCCUUGCGCUAAUAGAUGAGCCUAAGUCGGAUUAGCUAGUUGGUAGGGUAAAGGCCUACCAAGGCGACGAUCUGUAGCGGGUCUGAGAGGAUGAUCCGCCACACUGGGACUGAGACACGGCCCAGACUCCUACGGGAGGCAGCAGUGGGGAAUAUUGGACAAUGGGGGGAACCCUGAUCCAGCCAUGCCGCGUGUGUGAAGAAGGCCUUUUGGUUGUAAAGCACUUUAAGCGAGGAGGAGGCUACCUAGAUUAAUACUUUAGGAUAGUGGACGUUACUCGCAGAAUAAGCACCGGCUAACUCUGUGCCAGCAGCCGCGGUAAUACAGAGGGUGCGAGCGUUAAUCGGAUUUACUGGGCGUAAAGCGUGCGUAGGCGGCCAAUUAAGUCAAAUGUGAAAUCCCCGAGCUUAACUUGGGAAUUGCAUUCGAUACUGGUUGGCUAGAGUAUGGGAGAGGAUGGUAGAAUUCCAGGUGUAGCGGUGAAAUGCGUAGAGAUCUGGAGGAAUACCGAUGGCGAAGGCAGCCAUCUGGCCUAAUACUGACGCUGAGGUACGAAAGCAUGGGGAGCAAACAGGAUUAGAUACCCUGGUAGUCCAUGCCGUAAACGAUGUCUACUAGCCGUUGGGGCCCUUGAGGCUUUAGUGGCGCAGCUAACGCGAUAAGUAGACCGCCUGGGGAGUACGGUCGCAAGACUAAAACUCAAAUGAAUUGACGGGGGCCCGCACAAGCGGUGGAACAUGUGGGUUAAUUCGAUGCAACCCGAAAAACCUUACCUGGGCUUGACUAACCAGAAAUUUCCCAAGAAGGGUUGGGGCCUCCGGAACUCUAAAAAGGGGGGCAGGGGGUCUCAAC
Molecule: ribosomal RNA, 1018 nt
Filed under: Acinetobacter radioresistens
Lineage: Bacteria; Pseudomonadati; Pseudomonadota; Gammaproteobacteria; Moraxellales; Moraxellaceae
Description: bacterial SSU rRNA
Rfam family: Bacterial small subunit ribosomal RNA
Source: RNAcentral